RNAcentral lists this ribosomal RNA (253 nucleotides) under uncultured bacterium. RNAcentral's name for it is "partial 16S ribosomal RNA". It matches the Rfam family "Bacterial small subunit ribosomal RNA", at positions 524 to 776 of the family's 1533-position model. The record is from RNAcentral.
UACGUAGGGUGCAAGCGUUAAUCGGAAUUACUGGGCGUAAAGCGUGCGCAGGCGGCUAUGCAAGACAGAUGUGAAAUCCCCGGGCUCAACCUGGGAACUGCAUUUGUGACUGCAUAGCUAGAGUACGGUAGAGGGGGAUGGAAUUCCGCGUGUAGCAGUGAAAUGCGUAGAUAUGCGGAGGAGCACCGAUGGCGAAGGCAAUCCCCUGGACCUGUACUGACGCUCAUGCACGAAAGCGUGGGGAGCAAACAGG